Molecule: long non-coding RNA, 304 nt
Filed under: Medicago truncatula (barrel medic)
Lineage: Eukaryota; Viridiplantae; Streptophyta; Magnoliopsida; Fabales; Fabaceae
Description: long non-coding RNA (MTRU_LNC004318)
Source: RNAcentral
GUGCUCCCCGAUUUUCGGAUAUCAAACCAUUGAUUGAUUUGAAUCGUCAAUCUUUGAACUCUCAAUUCUUUAUUCGUGGGAAGGGAAAAAAUGAGUAAAAACCCUUAUCGAGACUUUGGAUUCGGGGGUUGGUUUCAAAUAGGGAAGGUGUUAAGCACCCUAAACGACUUCGGUACUCCGAAGGAACCGCUUACCUAGAUUAUCUUGUGCUAAAUUCAUUUGGCUUACUUGAAAAAUUAUUACCUAAAAUCUAAGUGAAAGAAUGGAGGGAGAAGAAGUAUGUUUUUGGUUAUUUUUAUUUGAU